Molecule: long non-coding RNA, 278 nt
Filed under: Gossypium barbadense (sea-island cotton)
Lineage: Eukaryota; Viridiplantae; Streptophyta; Magnoliopsida; Malvales; Malvaceae
Description: long non-coding RNA (GBAR_LNC014311)
Source: RNAcentral
UAAGCCUAAUAUACGAUAAAUAGACAGAGGCAUCAGAUUAGUGCUAGAUCUUAAGUCACAAAGGGCUUUCCUAAAAUUUACUCCCCUUAUUUCUAUAGGUAUUAUAAAGCUUCUAGGAUCCUUAAGCUUAGGUGGAAUCUUUCUAGCAAUAAUUGCACUACAAUCGACAUUAACAAAUAUUUUCUCACCUUUAAUUAUCCUACUGUGCCUGGACAUAAUUUCUUUAAGAAAUUAGCAUACUUUGGUAUUUUUUCAAUUAAUUCAAGUAAAGGUAAUUU